This is a long non-coding RNA of Daphnia magna, 4372 nucleotides long. RefSeq lists it as uncharacterized. The transcript is spliced from 2 exons. NCBI's taxonomy places the organism in Eukaryota, Metazoa, Arthropoda, Branchiopoda, Diplostraca, Daphniidae. The record is from RefSeq and is a predicted model, not a curated record.
AUGUGAUUUCUUUUCUUUUAAAUAUUUGAAACUAGACUAGAAUAGAAUUGUUUUCGGACUUUGUCCGUUGGGGAAAAUAAUCAUCAACAACCGUCAUUAGUUAUGAUGAUUACGGUCGGGGAGGGGCUGCUGUUCUUAUUUUCUUUUUUUGGUUUGAAUUAUUUCUUGUUAAAUCGGCACCUACCGGCCUUUCUUGUAAAUUGGUGAAGGACAGGUUGUGCCAUUUAAUUGUUUUAGCGCCAACGUUCUGGAAUUUCACCUGAUUGGGCCAAUUGAAAUUGCGCCAUCAACGCAGUUGGCCACUUUGACGGCAACGAAUGUCGUCCAUUUGCAAUUCAAAUGGCGCUCCGUUUUUCCUGUUUUCUCUUUGGACUUGAUCCGUUUGCUUUUGAGACGUACACGCAGUGGUGCCACCUCUGAUGACUUUUGCUGUUUUUUUCUGAUUAUCACUCUUGUUUUUUCUCUAGUGAAUCAGACACAAGACGACCAAAGUUAUUUCCUUUUGCACAUUGAAAUAAUACAAAAAAAAUGACUGUGGGUGGUAGAAUCGUGAAACGCAAAACGUUGGUACUAAAAAAAAAAAAAAAAUCAACCGGACUCCUGGAACACAUUUUUUUGUUUGCUUCCUCCUCGUUUUUCUUUAAUGGCCGGGGUGUACUUGGAAGAGAAUUAACGAUUGUUUAGGAGCGCCUUUGACGAAACUUUGCAUUCUUAGUUGCUGCCUCUAUUGCGCAGCAUCCAUUUUCAAUGACGCUUGUCGCGUUCAGGGGGCAAUAUGUCUCCAUCUCUCUUUUGUUUAGAGUCGCUUUUCAGUUUUCCUAUUUCCCUUCACGUUUCAGCUGUUUUGUACAGUCACCAUUUUUUUGUUUUGUUUGUUUUGUUUCAUUCCUUUAGUCAGAUAAAAAAAUAAAAAUAAGAACGUUCUUUUUAUUUAAUUGUGUGGGUCAUUUGGCCCGUCUCUCGUCCAGCCGGAACGAUUCGUUGCCGCCAUUGCGGUCCCGCCGCUCUUCAGCUUUCUUCCGUUGACAUUUCCCUUUUUUUUUUUUUGGGUGUUUUUUAAGGGGGUAUGAGCGUUAAAAAUAGCGAAGUUAAAAGGAAUUGUACAAAAGCUCUGCAAUGAAACGCAGAGUGAUGUAUGCGAGAGGGGGGGAGCAGCAAAAAAUGCGAAAACGUGUGUUCCGUCUUCGUGGGACGUUGUAUGCGUAAUAGUUAAUUUAAAAAAGAAAAAGAAAAGAAAAUAGUGGUACGUGCGCGCGAAAUGCAAUUUUUUUGUUUGUUAAGGAUACACCUACACACGUUGAGAAGUGAGCGCCAAAAAUGUUGCCAAAUGGGACCGAUUCCAAGUUUUGGGCUCUUUUUGGGCCCGUCCCGAUCCCAUGGAUCGCCGAGUGUAGUGACCUCUUUCUUUUUUGUUUUGUUGUUAUUCUUUCGUUUAUACUACACUCCUACACCCAUUUUUUCUCAGCUAUAACCGGUAACUUUAUUAAUUUUUGUGCUGGUUUGCGCAAAAGAAAAUGAUGGAAAUAGUUCCGAGAAAACAAAAAAAUGGAAGAGAAGGCGGCUGACGUUCAAUCAAGGCCUCGUCCCCUCUUGGCUCACCUUGAACAUAAAUUAAAUUCAUCUUUUUUUUUUUUAAUUUUUCAACAGCUGAGAUAAAUGAAAAAGAACGGCCAUUUCACUUGUGGGUACGUUUUAAAAAAAAUCCCUCCAUUUUUUUUCUCUAGUUCCGGUACUUUUGUUUAAAACAUAAACGGGAGUAAACGAAAAUAUGAACCAUACGCGUCGGCCUUGAUAGUCAAGGGCUUCACCCACAUAAUCGUUUUCGUCUAGCCUUAUAUUACGUAACAGAACGUCCAAUUUUUGUUUUUUAAAAUUCAAGAACGCGCGUGAAAAAGAGGAUUAUGAAUAGACUCCCCCCCCUUCCCUUUUUUUAUUUAUUUAUUUUUUAUUGCUAUGAUAAAUAAAAACAAAAAUUGACGAGUGUUCCCGUUGUCGCCUCGGUUCAUCCUCCAUGUAAUAUGAUCGAUCACUAUCGAUCUAAAAAAAAAAAAAGAAAUGUCACCGCAGAGUUUCGAUCCUGCGUCGGUUCGUCCCGGGCUCCCCUUCGGUUCUCCCGCAUUGGCUCAUGCGCCGCACCGCCAGACAUUCGUUCGUCUAGGCGUCCGUACCCCGUGACUUGAAUGUCACGUGACUCGGCAACGCACCACAGUAUUUUCCCUCUUUCUUUCUUUCUUCUUGGUAUUAUAACAGAAGGCAAAAAAAAAAAAGAAAAAGAAAAACUGGCGGAUAAGCAUAGUUUGCUGGCGCGUUAGCCAAGCGAAACACAACUGUGAAAGGGAGUUUCAGAUAGAAGAUAGGAAUACAAAAAAAUGGGGCCGACUCACGAAAUGCGAAACUUUUUUUUUUGUUUUUUUGUUUUUUGUUUUUUCGUUAUAUAAAACAACAACAGCUGUUUGUCACCAUACAGACGAUUACUAUAUACCAUGCGAGCCGUCUAGUAUGUAGAGUGUUUUUGGUCGAAUGCGUAACACCUCUUGUCCCGAAAAUAGCUACCGAGCCUACCAUUACCAAGAACGGGAAAAAGAGAAGGGGGGAGAGAGAACACAACUGGCGGGAAAAUAAAAAAAAUGCAAAAAUGUUUGAGAGGAGGAGGGAAAGCUAUUCAUUUUUAAUCUGAAGGCUUCUGCUUUUUGUUUGGUUUGUGCUUUUUCGCGACUAUCAGCUUUUUAGAUACGUUGUUAUGAUAGGGGGGGACUUAACCAUCGAUCGGUUGUUGCGGAAGACGUCAUAAUAAAUAAAGAAAACUCUUUGACUUGAUAGUUGUAACCUUGGCUUCGGCCAGUGUCGAUUUUUUUCCUUAGCUCUUGCAUAACAUCGCCAUAGAGUCUGUUUUUUUUUAUUUUAUUUUUUAUAUCUGUUAUGCGCACAUCGUAGAGACUAGAGGCCUUACGUUGCCAAGGACAACCUCUAUUUGGCAUUGAUCAAGUCGAAGGUUUUUUCUUCCCCUUCCCCCCUUUUUUUGGGGGGGGGAGGGUGUUAAAUGGAAUGCGUUUCCUUCUUGUUGUUUUCCAUUCCUGACGCUAGAGGCUUGCCAGCUCGAUGGCCAAGUGACUGUAGCAAUUGGAUGUGGAGACUUGAAAAAUCCUUCGUUUAUAUAAUACGUGAAGGCCGACGCCAUUGUUUAUUACGUCCAUCGUGCUCAAACUAAAAACUCCCGCCACCCCCCCUCUCCCCUCGUGUAUUUAUUAUUUAUUUUUUAAGGAUUACACUAACCGACGCAAGAAGGGAAAUAAAAUUUAAAAAAAAAGAGAAGGGUACGAAGCAAUGAACAUACGAGCGUAGACUCAUUUUCUAUGGUGUCUGUCUGGGACUGGCCAGACUGUAGCGCCGUUAGACGUCCUUGGAUGUUUUGCGCGACGUCGACGCUAGUGGCGCUAGUCUACUGACAUGUACAAGUCAAGCCCAUUUGCAAACAGCUGCGUUUUUUCUGCUAAUUGUCAGCUUUGUUAGGCUACAAUGAUGAUGUCACUUUGGAAUUUUUUUUCUUUUCAAAGCAAAGGUUUCCCUGAAUCCAUUCUUUCCAGAAGGGGGGAGGGGGAGCAAAGGUGUUGCAUUUUUUUAAAUUUUUGAAUUUUAAUAUAUGCCUCGACGUUAUUGGAUCUUGGGAUCAGCGUGAAGCCGCACCGAUGUUCGUCAAUCUUACGUUUUGUAAUGUGUCGUUGUGGACGUCUGCCAAGAAAAUACGACGGUCGUUACUGCACGAAAUAAAAAAAAAAAAUUACCCCCCCCCCCGUCUUUCCCGAAAUAAAAAAUCGAUAUCUGUGCGUGUCUAGCUGAUAUCUCGGUAGUCAUGUGACUAUUCUUUUACGACUUGUGUAAGGGGGGCGAGUGGGGAGGGGGUCAGAGGGAUUGGGUAUUCACGAAGACACCCCCGGCCCCUCCCUUCGUAAGAGCCGGAUCGAUUACACAGCCAGUUUUCUUUAGUUUUUUUGAUUAGAGAGAAAGAAUCGAUAGCCCGUCUGUAAAACUUAAAUAUUCAUUCGAGACAGGUGACUAUUUCGUUUAAUCUUUUUUCUUAUUUUUUUUAUUACCUGUCUACUGCGCUUCUUUUCUCGGUGGAAGGGAAUGAAUUAUUGCGCACUUUUACUUGUCGUCGUCUGCUUCCAUGGCCGCGCAUCGUCUUAGACUGUCGGGAAUGUUGGUCUGACGACGUCCUCCCGUGAACGACUCCGGGAAAUUCCUACGAGGAAGUAAUCCAUUUUUGGGAGGUGGGGGUUAGAAAAAGAGCAUCUAAACUCAAGCGAAAAAAAAAACGAACGAAAAGAAAGACACCGUAAAAGUUCCCUCCCGUAGAAAGAUAUGUGAAAUAAAA